Molecule: long non-coding RNA, 2187 nt
Organism: Passer domesticus (house sparrow)
Lineage: Eukaryota; Metazoa; Chordata; Aves; Passeriformes; Passeridae
Exons: 4
Source: RefSeq, a predicted model, not a curated record
UACUGUGUGAAUUGGUUAAUUUUGAAUGAGAAAGGGAAGUUCUAGGAAGAAAAGCACAAUAUUGUGAGGCCUUGCUUAUGUUUUGUUAUCUUCAGUCACAUUCCUUAUUUCUAACAGAGUUGAUGACAUAGAGUUUCCCAGGAAUUCUUUAAUAGUUCUGGGUGCUGAUUUAUGCUGAAUCUCAAGGGUUUGCUAUGAAGGGGAUGUUGGAUUAGUGGAACAAUAGCUAAGUAUAAUUCUUGGCCAUGUUAUAACAAUUCAUGAGAUGAAAGUCUGGCUCCAGGAGAUCAAAUAGUGUCUGCCACAGAAAGAAUUUCCUAGAGGAUGCUCUUCAGACAUGUUAUCCACAGAUCUGAGUAGAACGGCUAUGUAAAAAGUUCCAUAUGAAGGAAAAGAGAUCAGACAAAGGGUCCAUACUUGAAUAGUGAGCUAAGUAUUCAGGAAGUUUGCUCUUCUGUUAAAUAUUUUCUGACAUGGGAAAAAAGUCAAUAAGAACAGAAAGAAAAAAAUUUAGAUGUAUCCCUCACAACAAAAUUUGGUCUAUCUUUAUAAAAUAAGGGUUUGAAAAAUGUAUGUAUUUUGUCUUAACAACAUAGGUACUCUAGGACUGUUAAAAGCUGUGAAAAAUGUUGACGUAUUUUAAAGAUCUGAAUUUUAUUUAUCAGCACUGGAAACAAAAUGCUACUUCGUUACCAUCAAGACUUUGGAUAUAAAGAUUAUAAUGAUAAAAAAAUACAUUAGGUUUGUUAUCAGAAAAGCAUCACUUUUUGUGAUUUUAAUGAAGUGGAUCACAGUUAAUCUGUGGCAGAUGUAAAGUGUAAGGUAUCCUCAGAUACUUUACUGUGUAAAGUAUCUGAGGAUGCUUUACACACACAAGACUGCUUCUUCAAAGGUGAAUUCAAAAGUGAGCCUAAAUGAGAAUUUGGGUACUGAAAAUUUAAGAGAGGGCUGGUCUAUGGCUAAAUUUGGGGCACUUUUCUCCCCAGUUCUUGUUUGCUGGUGAGCUAAAUAAUUCAUGGUUUUAAUUUGGUUCAUGAAAUUCUUGGCAAUUUUUAAACUUAUUAGUAGUUAUGGCUGAAUCUAUACAUAGACACCCGAGUUGCCUAGUACCUAUGUGUGAUUUAGGAAUUACUUCUCUUUGUCUUAGGUAUGGAAAUCUCCUCUCCUCUGACACUCCUGUUUCUGGGGAUGUCUGUAAGCACCAGGAUCUGGGGAAUGAAGUCGAUGGACCCCUGCCCAGGCUCUCAGUAACCCAGAGAAAACUGGGGUGUGACAGAGAUAUUUCCCAUCUUAGAAGUUCUCAGCUCCAUGAGGAAAUGGUGAUACAGACUGGUUUGGGGUUUCACUGACCCAUUAGGGGAGCUGGGGGCUGCAGGCUCAGGCAGCUCAAGAAAAGCAGGUGUAACUCUGGCAGCUUUCUUGCGACAAGGGAGGAGAUGGGUGGCAUUUCUUCUUCCACUUUGCUCUGUCACAAAGGGAGAGGACAACGAGUGUAUUCAAGUGAGCAAACAUGUACAGAUAUGAACAUCUCAGAUGUCACAAAUGCCUUGAAAUUAAUUACAUGCAUAGAGUCACAGUGGCUAACCAGUGGUAGCCCAGACCUUUCAGAGCAUUGCCCUCAUCAAUCAAGGACAACAGAAACACCCUUCAAUGAGUGAGCAGCUACUUUUUUCUCGGAACAAUGCCACAAGCAAAUUAGGGGUAUUGUAAACAAGACUGGGUUUAUGUGUUUGACAUCAAUGCUACUACCCAAAAAAAAGAUUUAUCAUAGAUUACAGCAACAAAUCUGGCACUCUGACCUUGAAGUCAGUAAAACCAUAAGAGUUCUUCUGAAGCCAAUUAUAUGAAGAGCAUGUAUGUUUCAGAGCUACUGCAUCAGACCAAAAAAUGAGGUAGAUUCUUAGGUUUCUGAAACAAAAAACCCUCAGGCAGAUUUGAAGCAUGCAGUAAUGCCUGGAAUUAUUCAGAGGUGAAUGAGAAACCAAUGGAAUUCAUAAAUAAACAGAAGUACUGCUGUUCUGGCAACUCUUCUGGCACAGUCUGGAGGCUCAAGAUAUCAUCAAGAUUCUAUCCAUUCUUUUCCAUUCUAUCUCCUUUUGAAUAGUAUUGAAAGAGGAAUGAUACUGAAUAUUAAUGGUACCAACUAUGAAACAGGUGCAAUAAAGAAAUGAGAUAUUAUAAAAGACA